UACGAAGGGUGCUAGCGUUGCUCGGAAUCACUGGGCGGAAAGCGCACGUAGGCGGUCUUUUAAGUCAGGGGUGAAAUCCUGGAGCUCAACUCCAGAACUGCCUUUGAUACUGAGAGACCUGAGUCCGGGAGAGGUGAGUGGAACUGCGAGUGUAGAGGUGAAAUUCGUAGAUAUUCGCAAGAACACCAGUGGCGAAGGCGGCUCACUGGCCCGGUACUGACGCUGAGGCACGAAAGCGUGGGGAGCAAACAGG
RNAcentral lists this ribosomal RNA (253 nucleotides) under uncultured bacterium. Its description in RNAcentral is "partial 16S ribosomal RNA". It matches the Rfam family "Bacterial small subunit ribosomal RNA", at positions 524 to 776 of the family's 1533-position model. The record is from RNAcentral.